CUGUUGGGUAGGGGAGCGUUGUGUAAGCGGAAGAAGGUUCAUCGAGAGGUGGGCUGGACGUAUCACAAGUGCGAAUGCUGACAUAAGUAACGAUAAAACGGGUGAAAAACCCGUUCGCCGGAAGACCAAGGGUUCCUGUCCAACGUUAAUCGGGGCAGGGUGAGUCGGCUCCUAAGGCGAGGCUGAAAAGCGUAGUCGAUGG
This 202-nucleotide ribosomal RNA is filed under the name Haemophilus influenzae. Its description in RNAcentral is "partial 23S ribosomal RNA". It matches the Rfam family "Bacterial large subunit ribosomal RNA", at positions 1221 to 1421 of the family's 2925-position model. Lineage: Bacteria; Pseudomonadati; Pseudomonadota; Gammaproteobacteria; Pasteurellales; Pasteurellaceae. The record is from RNAcentral.